GCACCCGUAGCUCAACUGGAUAGNNUGGAUAGAGCAUCGGUCUACGGAACCGAAGGUUGGAGGUUCGAACCCUCCCGGGUGUA
Molecule: transfer RNA, 83 nt
Filed under: Planctomycetaceae bacterium
Lineage: Bacteria; Pseudomonadati; Planctomycetota; Planctomycetia; Planctomycetales; Planctomycetaceae
Description: tRNA-Arg
Rfam family: tRNA
About the family: Transfer RNA (tRNA) molecules are approximately 80 nucleotides in length. Their secondary structure includes four short double-helical elements and three loops (D, anti-codon, and T loops). Further hydrogen bonds mediate the characteristic L-shaped molecular structure. tRNAs have two regions of fundamental functional importance: the anti-codon, which is responsible for specific mRNA codon recognition, and the 3' end, to which the tRNAs corresponding amino acid is attached (by aminoacyl-tRNA synthetases). tRNAs cope with the degeneracy of the genetic code in two manners: having more than one tRNA (with a specific anti-codon) for a particular amino acid; and 'wobble' base-pairing, i.e. permitting non-standard base-pairing at the 3rd anti-codon position.
Source: RNAcentral